AAACCUGAUAUGACUUAGUGGCGGACGGGUGAGUAACACGUGAGCAACCUGCCUUUCAGAGGGGGAUAACGGCUGGAAACGGUCGCUAAUACCGCAUGAUGUGUUCAGAUGGCAUCAUCUGAACAUCAAAGAUUUAUCGCUGAAAGAUGGGCUCGCGUCUGAUUAGAUAGUUGGUGGGGUAACGGCCUACCAAGUCUACGAUCAGUAGCCGGACUGAGAGGUUGAACGGCCACAUUGGGACUGAGAUACGGCCCAGACUCC
This 261-nucleotide ribosomal RNA is filed under the name uncultured Oscillospiraceae bacterium. RNAcentral's name for it is "partial 16S ribosomal RNA". It matches the Rfam family "Bacterial small subunit ribosomal RNA", at positions 78 to 339 of the family's 1533-position model. The record is from RNAcentral. Lineage: Bacteria; Bacillati; Bacillota; Clostridia; Eubacteriales; Oscillospiraceae.